UAUCUGAACCUUCGGGGGACGAUAACGGCGUCGAGCGGCGGACGGGUGAGUAAUGCCUAGGAAAUUGCCCUGAUGUGGGGGAUAACCAUUGGAAACGAUGGCUAAUACCGCAUGAUGCCUACGGGCCAAAGAGGGGGACCUUCGGGCCUCUCGCGUCAGGAUAUGCCUAGGUGGGAUUAGCUAGUUGGUGAGGUAAGGGCUCACCAAGGCGACGAUCCCUAGCUGGUCUGAGAGGAUGAUCAGCCACACUGGAACUGAGACACGGUCCAGACUCCUACGGGAGGCAGCAGUGGGGAAUAUUGCACAAUGGGCGCAAGCCUGAUGCAGCCAUGCCGCGUGUAUGAAGAAGGCCUUCGGGUUGUAAAGUACUUUCAGUCGUGAGGAAGGUGGUAGCGUUAAUAGCGCUAUCGUUUGACGUUAGCGACAGAAGAAGCACCGGCUAACUCCGUGCCAGCAGCCGCGGUAAUACGGAGGGUGCGAGCGUUAAUCGGAAUUACUGGGCGUAAAGCGCAUGCAGGUGGUUUGUUAAGUCAGAUGUGAAAGCCCGGGGCUCAACCUCGGAAUAGCAUUUGAAACUGG
This 579-nucleotide ribosomal RNA is filed under the name Vibrio parahaemolyticus. RNAcentral describes it as "bacterial SSU rRNA". It matches the Rfam family "Bacterial small subunit ribosomal RNA", at positions 64 to 636 of the family's 1533-position model. Lineage: Bacteria; Pseudomonadati; Pseudomonadota; Gammaproteobacteria; Vibrionales; Vibrionaceae. The record is from RNAcentral.